GCGGAGAGGAAAAGAAAGGCGACGAGUCGCCCGGCGCGAGACCCGUGCAGGAGAUCCGCACCCGCUCCCGUGCCCGACAGCCGCGCGGUCUCGCCAGCCAGCCCCGCACCCUCGAACCUGCCGAGCUCCUCCUGACCGGCCGCAACCAUGGGAGACGCUUCGACCGCGGACCCGUCAACUGCCGGAGGCUCGGAACAGUCUAUGGUCAACAAGGAUGCGGGAGGUGGCGGAGGCGGUGGUGGCAUGAUCAUCCUCCUCAUUCUGCUGGUGGUCGGUAUUCUCGCCGUCGUCGGUGUACUCUUCGCAACCGGAGCUCUGGGCGGUGCCAAGCAAGCAACUACCACCACGGAG
RNAcentral lists this long non-coding RNA (351 nucleotides) under Dermacentor andersoni. Its description in RNAcentral is "uncharacterized LOC126534244". Lineage: Eukaryota; Metazoa; Arthropoda; Arachnida; Ixodida; Ixodidae. The record is from RNAcentral.